This is a non-coding RNA of Nephila pilipes (giant wood spider), 80 nucleotides long. NCBI's taxonomy places the organism in Eukaryota, Metazoa, Arthropoda, Arachnida, Araneae, Nephilidae. The record is from the annotation of a GenBank genome assembly.
UCAUACAUAGCCUAAUGGUCAUGGUCGCGGACUCAUGUUCCUUUGAGCCCUGGUUCCACAAGAAACCCGUCGUGUAUGGA